AAUUUCUCAUAGGCUUUGCUUUUCAAAAAUUGCAAUUACAAAAAAUUGCAACCUUCCAUUCUUCUUUUUAUUGCAUCCUUUGUUUCAAGUUUUAAUAUGUCUGAUUAAUUAGAUCAAGUUUUAGUCCCUUGUUGGAAUUUGAGUUUAGAGGGAUAGGAGGCUUUUCUAUGCAUACCAUUAUCCAGCAUAUUUCCUAAUAAUGAAAGGGAUGAUGAUGAUCAGUUCUCUGAUGAUGCUUACAUGGAAGAUGUGGUAGUAUUCGAUACUGAUGAUGAUAUUAUGGAGAUUCUUGAGGAUGCUCUUGCUGAUAACAAUCCUUCAAAGAUGAUCAAGCCUGCUAGUAAAUCAGCCAUUGAAGGGUUGAAGAAGGUAAAGAUCGAUGAAAGAUCAUUGGUCAUGUGUUCGGUGUGCUUUGAAGAUGUUUCAAUCGGGACUGAAGCCAAAUGCCUGCCCUGCUCCAUGUUUAUCAUACAGGUUGCAUUGUUAAAUGGCUUAAAGAGAGGAAUUGUCGAUUUUGAUCUAAAUGUUCUCUUGUCUGCCAUUGAUUUUGAUGUGAAUUCUAAGAAAAUGACUGCUACUAAUUGAUUUCAAUGUCAUUUAUAAUAUGUAAUUAUUGGGGUUUUGUUCUGUUUUCUUUUGUUUCUUUUGAACAAUUUGUUUGUAAUCUUAAGGGUACUCAAAUCAGAAUGAAAUUGUCAUUUGGAACCCAAACCCUAAACCCUAGUCACCCAAGUCCUUAUGUUGCAUGAUUAUUAAAAAAUAUACCGAACUUUUCUUUCUAAUUCUGAUGUUUUGGUAUUUCUUAUAAUCUGUCAAUUUCUAUACAUGACCGUGCUCUCUACAACUUACUGAUAUAAAUUCUUGUUGAUUAGUUUGUUUUGUUUUGCAGGGUUUUUCUAUUUCUUAUAAAUACCUUUGAGACCAAGAUUGGUCCUAAACAACAUUGUUCAGUCAAUCAAUGUUCAAUGUUUGAUCAAAUCAAGUGGACACUUUACAGGAACCGGGCACAUACAGAGCGUUGAGUUAGUAUUCAUGAGAGCAAACAAGAGAAGCUAGUGUUUCCAACACAAUGAAUUGAUAUACUGACUCAAAUGAAACUAAAUCCAAUGAAUUGAUAUACUGACUCAAAUGAAACUAAAUCCAACUUAGAAAAAGGCAGUAAAACUUUUAAUCGUAGCUAAAAAAUAGGAAUAGAAAGCGAAGAAAAUGGACUCAAAUCCCGCUUGUUUUUUAAGUGGUGACGUCUUGUCAGAGCCUUUGAGUUGAUGGUAUGGGUAUUGGAAGUGUUAAUAGUUUGGUGAUUGUAUUGCUAGAUCUAUUCUUCCUAAUUCUCUAGUCAUAGAUGUAUUGUAUUGUUGCGAAUGCGCCUCAGUCUCAAGUUUCAAGUGUUUGAGGAAGUGAGCGAAGUUUCUAAUGUGAGAGGAAUAAUAUUCGAAAACUUUUUUUUUUAGACUAUGCUUAAUGGAUAUUUUUAGUUCAUAAUUCUCUUUAGACUCUAAUUACCCAUUUCUAUAAGAAUUCUAAAAUUCUUUUCCAGUUUUAGAUCUCUCAACAACAACCUCUUACUCAGUAAAUCUAUUACAAAUUCAUAAAUCCUCCAAGGGAUUUUUAUAUUUGAUUAUAUGUUGCAUACCUGCUAUGCACAAAACACAAAAAAGGGCAGUUAUUUUAUUUUCAUCAGAGAACGAUUAUUCGAUUAUUUUUCCUCUUAUCUAAGACUGCAUUACUAGAAUCAAACUUUGUGCCCAUAUUGGGUGUUUUCAACAUUCUGUUUCAGUUCUAUUUUCUGUUGUAUUUUUGGUUUCGUGUCUCUUUGUCUAACAGCUCUGAAUAUUUUGUAGCAUGCCUCCUGAUUUAAAUACAGAAAACAUCAAAUUGUUUGAAAAGAAUCCUCUAUUUUUCACAACCACUUUGAUCUUAUAAGCUUUCAACAGAAAUUUUCUUGUUAAACACAAAGAAGCUCGAAUCUAUUUCAACUAGAAUUGGUGGGGUGCGCCUGGCCCAUGCAGUAGUGCAACGCAUAGGCGACGCUCGAAGACCCCAGCAGCAAGCUGCUGUGAUGGGCCUUCGCCCUCAAAAAAUUAAUUUAAUAUCAUGUGGAUCAAUGACCCACGUAUCAGAUAUUAAACUGAUAAGAACAGAUACUACACUUGAUCUUAGCCAAAAGGCCGAGAAAGGUAUGCUUUGUAAAUGUUCUCAACUUCUCUUUUAUAAAUUGCCUCGCCCAAACCCUUUUCAACUGUUCAUGAUGUGGAAUAGAGAACACAGCCAAGUGCAGUAACAUCUUAUCUUUCGAUGACCAGACUUCGAAAACUCUCAAAUAGUUACCUGAAUAUCAGAGCAAAAUCUGGCAACAAGAACACUCCUAACAUUUACCAUUUCCUUGGGAGAUUAUUUAUUAAUAAUUUAUGUGGUCAAAAUGGUAUUUGGCAUCCGCUUCGAGAAGGCAGUGUUCAUAUAAUCUAUAGGUAUAAAUUCAAUGACUGGUUUUACGCUGUGUUUAGCUACGAAAUCAGUCAUCUGUUGAGUCUCCUUCAGUCUUUCAAUCAUGCUUAUCUUCCUUGCCGUUAAGGGUAUAAUUCUUGUUAAUUUCUCAGUCUUAAUAUCAAAUCAUGUCCAAUACUAAAAAUCUAUACUUUAUAUAUUAAAAGUAUCCUAAGGUUUAAGAAAGUUAAUAGCUUACCUAACUUAUGAGUUUUGUGGGCUUUGAGAUAUGAGGAGUGGGUCUAUGUUUAACUGCCUUUUUUUUUUGUUUUUUUUUUUUUGUGGUGAGCUUUAGAAUUUGUGGUAUUUUAUUUAUUGUUUAUUGAGUAGGAUUUUUUUCAGUUUUGUUUGAGAGGGCAGAGGGUUCAGUAUUAUCAGUACCAGCAUUCAAGUUCAUAGUCACUUCAAAUGAUGUUGCAUGAAACUUUCUUUAAAGAGCGACAAAGUAAAGCCAAUUAUUGAUCCCAAUGGCAUUUUUCCUUUCUCUUAAAUUGUCUAAAGACUUUUUUAUGUUGAAAUUGGAAGAGUUAUAGAAAAAGUGGUCGUAUACCAAUCCCAUGAGACAAAAAAUUCUUGUAUAGUACUUAAUAUAAUCCGUUCAUAAUAUUUGAUUUUAAAUUGUGUAUUUUAAUUAUGGUUAUAUUAAGAUAUGAAAUAACAAAUUUUUUAAUAAAUUAAAUAAUCCCCUCUAUACUCUUAAAAAGAUAUGUGUCGAGAGUAUAGAGAAUUUAUAGUUAAUUUUAUAUAAUAGUUAUUGCUAUUUACGAAACAUAAAUAAUGAAAUUUUAAAAAGUUUAAAUCCUAUCAUAUUAUUCAUAAUAUAAAUAUUUUUUAAUUUUUAAAAUAUAAUAUUUAAGUUGAUGUACAAAACCAUAAAAACUGAUUUACAUGAUUUACACCUACAUUAUUGGUGUAAAUGUUUCUUAAACCUAUAUUGACUUUUAAAUAAACCAGAGCAAUCUAUCAGUUCGGUUAAGUCAAUUAUAAAAACUUAAAAACCGAUUAAUUGGGCUUCAUCUGUUUAAGUAACCAAAUUGACUAAUUAAUAGUACGAAAAUAAAAAGUAAUUGAAAUGACUUAAAUCAAUUGGUUUUGUCGAUUUUGUUGGUCCUUUAGUUUCUAGCAAGUUUGGUCAAAGAUUAUUUGUCAUAAUUAAUCACUGUAUUAUCUUUUUGAAUUUGACUAUUUUCCAUCCUAUGAUUUUGAACUAAUCCAUGUGUGGAUAAUUAAGUUGAUCAAAUUAUGUAACGGAUAUCUGUACAUUAGUUAAAUGAUUAAAUUAAUUCUUCUAUCUUAAUGUUUUCAAAUUGGAUUCAUAUACUUCAUUUUAUUAUCAAAUUGAAUCAAAUUGUUAAUAGUUCAAACUUGUUCCGUUAAACUUGAUAAUGUGAUAUUUUAAUUUUUUUGAUGUGACAUUUUUGCUUACGUUGACGAUUAACUUUGUUGACAUGUAAAGUCUAUGUGGUCAAAUAUGAUAACGUGAUAAAAUUUUUUGACAUGUCAUCAGUUUUUCAUGCCAACUUCUCUUAAUUUGCACAACUUAUCCCUAUAUUUUGGUUAAAUGGUGGAAUUAGUCUUUUUAUCUUAAUGUAUGUUCAAUUUGAUCCCUAUACAUAAAUUAACUAUCGAAUUUAAGAUUUAAUCUAAAAUAAGUAAAAUAAAACUAAAAUAAAAGACAAAAAAACUUUUCAAUACAAAUAGAUCGAAUUGUAAACAAAGUCAAUGUAUAGGUCAACACAAGAUUUGCACCAAACCCCUCUUGAAAAAUAACAUCGUUUCAACCUAUUAUAAAAACAAUUUUUUUUUUAAUUUUCCUUUUUUCUCCUCUUUCAUCCUUGUUUUUCUCUUACUUCUUUUUACAAGUCUCCUCCAAAGAACUCAUAUUUUAAUGGGAUUUAUAGAAAUCAGGGAUUGAAAAAUUCAACAAUCACAGAAAAUUUAUCCAUAAAAACUAAAACCGUUAAUACCCAGAAAUCGAUUAUCGACACCACCAUUUUGUAUCAUCAUCUAAAGCAAAAUUGAGCAUAAUACCCUAAAAAUUAUAAAUUUCAAACCUUUAAAAAAAAUUUUCUCGGUAAAAAAUUAUUUCUAAUGGUUUUUGCUAAUUGUCUUUAUUUUUGUUGUGUUACCUUGUCGAUUGCUAUUGAAUUCUCAAAUUUUUUUCAAAUUAAUAUUUCCAAAAAAAUUUUCAUAUUUUCCUUAACUUUUUUCAAUUUUUUAUUUUUUUUAUUUUUUUUUACUUUGACUUCUUGAUUUUCACUAACUAAACAAUAAAAAUAAAUAAAAUACUUUUAGAGUUUUAAAUUUGGGUUUAAAAUUCAAUUUCACAAUUAAACCAAUUGAUCAAAAAAUGAUUUUAGAGCCUAAUGUCGAGAUGAAAUUUCAAAGCCAUUUAAUAUUGAAAUUUUUUUUCAAAAAGAAUAGAAUGUCUACAAUUGCUUUUAUUGUUGACUGUAUAUCUGAGUUUGUUGACUAUGAUUUUUUAAUCUAAUUUUUAUGCUUUAGUCAUUUUACAAGUUUUUUUAUUUUUUAUAUUUUAAGAAUAUUAUAAAAGAAAUUAACAAAAAGUGAAAAAAUAAAAUAAAUAAAAAAUAAAGAAAAUAUAUAAUUUAGUUUAUUUUGGGCUUAUAGUCUAAUUUGAGAUUAACCCAAUUUGUCAAAUUAAGUCCAAUUAAUAAUUCAAAUAUCCAAAAAAAUUUAUCUAAAUAUGAAAAAAAAUAUCACGCUCGAAUUAAUAAUUUAUGCUUUUAUAUGUUAUUUUAGAUCAAAUUUUAAAUUCGAUAAUUAAUUGAUAUAUAAGGAUCAAAUUUGAACACAUAUUAAAGUAGAAUGACUAAUUCUAUUAUUUAACCAAAGUAUAGAGACGAGCCGUGUAAUUUGAGAAAAGUUGAUGUGAAAAAAUGAUGAUGUGUUAAAAAAUUUUACCACAUCAUCAUUUUUUAUCACGAUGACUUUACACGUCAACAAAGUCAAUGGCCAUAUAAGCAAAAAUGCUACAUUAAAAAAGUUAAAAUACUAUAUUAUCAAUUUUUACAGAAAAAGUUUGAACGAUUAAUAAAUUAACUAAAGUCGACUAUUAAAUGAAUAGGAAUCCAAUUUGAACAGAUUAAGAUAAAUGGACUAAUUUUACUAUUUAACUAAAGUACAUAUAUCUGUUAUAUAAUUUGACCUAAUUAGGUUCAUCACACAAUAAACACUUUCCACCGCAGUCAUCGGCAUAACCUCCAAGACUCUAUCUCUCUCUAUUGCCUUAAAUUCAUAUAAGACAUAAAAAACAAAUUCUAGGAGCAAGCCAAGCAACACUAAGCCAUUUCUUAAAAUCUCACGUCAAGAGUCUAUUAAAGGUAGUCUAAGUUUAUUGUAUAAAUUUAUGGUCUUAUUUUUGUUCAAGUCAUUUAUAGAAAAUUUUAGUACAGAAAAUGACCAACAUUCUCUGUCUCUCAAAUAUCUAUAUCUCUGAUAACAAGAGGAAUUGGGGUGCAACCAUGGGGUUUAACAAGAUAGAGAUGAAGUUGAUUGAGGAUAAAACUUGCAGGUAAGUUACAUUCUCAAAAUAUCGAGUAGAUUUGCUUAAAAAAUCCAUGAAAUUUCUAUACUUUGUGGUGCUCAAAUUGGGCUCAUUAUCUUCUCAAACACUAAGGGGAAUUAGGGAUAUAGAUUUUAGGGUUUUGAUAAAAAAGAAUAAAAAAUAGAAAGGAAGGGCUAAAGGGUAAUUAGGUAAAGGGUUAGGAAAAUUAAUAAUGUUUUUGUUUAUUUUAAAUAUUUAAUUAUUUGAAUUUUGAUUUUUUCGAUCGGUUCAAAUUUAAAACUUCAACACAAAAAAGAAAAAAGAUAAAUUCGAGAACCAAAUCGAUUUAAUCUCUUAAAUCAAAAAAUCCAAAUCGAUUUAAUUAAAAUGAACGAUUUAGAUCAAUUUUAUUGAUUUAAAGUUAAUGCUUUCUCCUACUUUAAACAAUAAAAAAUGAAAUAGAAUGAUGCUUUCUCUUAAUCCUUUUACAUAUUGCUCCUAUUAAAAAUCUUUUGAAUUAUGUUUUGUUAUACUAAAAUGCAAAUAGAAUGAUGUUUAUAUUGCCUUUGAUAUAAUCAAAAUAAAAAUGGCUCUUCCUCUUAUUUUCUUAAAAUUAUAGCAACUUGAAUUAGGAUAACCGACGCGGAAUGCAGUUACAGCAAUAGUAUACUCUAAUAAAAAAUAUUACGAACUUAAGAUACAUAUGUAGAGCUCACCUCACUCUUACUUAACAUAUAAAAAAGGUUCUUCCUCUUAUUUUCUUAAAAUUAUAGCAACCCGAAUUAGGAUAAUCGACGCGGAACAUAGUUACCACAAUAGUAUACUAUAAUAAAAAAUAUUAUGAACUUAAGAUACAUAUGUAGAGCUCACCUCACUCUUACUUAACAUAUUAACAAUAGAUUUUUUAUUAUAUAUUUAUUAUAUUAUGUAUAAAUACAUAAAAUAAAGAUUAUCAAUCUAAAUUUGAUUUUUUUCACAUGCAACUACAACAAAAAAAAUCAAUUUAUUUUAUCACAUAACUCUUUCUUUGACCUAUUUUUUCUCAAUUUUUUUUCAUUUAUUUUUUUCCAGCCACAUAAGAGUGUCCAAAAUCUAGUAAUACUUAAAUCCGUUCUCAGCUAGGAUGAAUAAUCCUUCAAAGUUAAAGAAACUUAGAGUCGCCUCUUCUCUUGUAUUAUAAAUUUCUCAUAGGCUUUGCCUUUGAGAAAUUGCAAAUACAAAAAAUUGCAACCUUCCAUUCUUCUUUUUGUUGCAUUCCUUGUUUCAAGUUUGAAUAUGUCUGAUGAAUUAGAUCAAGUUUUAGUCCCAUGUUUGGAACGUGAGUUUAGAGGAACAUGAGGCUUUUCUAUGCAUACUAUUAUCCAACAUGUUUCCUAAUAAUGAAAGGGAUGAUGAUGAUCAAUUCUUUGAUGAUGCUUACAUGGAAGAUGUGGUCAUAUUCGAUACUGAUGAUGAUAUUAUGGAGUUUCUUGAGGAUGCUCUUAUUGAUGACGAUCCACCAAAGAUGAUCAGGCCUGCCAGUAAAUCAGCCAUUGAAGGGUUGGAGAAGGUAAAGAUCGAUGAAAGAUCAUUAGUGUCGUGUUUGGUGUGCUUUGAAGAUGUUUCAAUCGGGACUGAAGCCAAACGCCUGCCCUGCUCCAAUGUUUAUCGUACAGGUUGCGUUGUUAAAUGGUUUAAAGAGAGAAUACAUGUCCAUUGUGCCGCUAUAAAAUGCCUGUUGUGGAUUUUGAUCUAAUUGUCCCAUUGCCUGCCAUUGAUUCUGAUGUGGACUCUGAGAACAUGACUGCUACUAAUUGAUUUCAAGUGUCAUUUAUAGUAUGUAUUUAUUAGGGUUAUGUUCUAUUUUCUUUUUGUUUCUUUUGAACAAUUUGUUUGUAAACUUAAGGGUACCCAAAUCAUAAUGAAAUUGUCAUUUGGAACCCAAACCCUAAACCCUAAUCACCCAAGUCCUUAUCUUACAUGAUUAUUAAAAAAUUUACUGCACUUUUCCUUCUAAUUCUGAUGUUUUUGUAUUUCUUAUAAUAUGUUAUUUCUAUACAUGACCAUGCUCUCUACAACUAUUGAUAUAAAUUCUUGUUGAUUAGUUUGUUUUGUUUUGCAGGGUUUUUCUAUUUCUUAUCAAUAUCUUUGAGACCAAGAUUGGUCCUAAAGAACACUGUUCAGUCAAUCAAUGUUUUGAUCAAAUCAAGUGGAUACUUUACAGAAACCAGGACGUUGAGUUAGUAUUCACGAGAGCAAACAAGAGAAGCUAGUGUUUCCAACAAAAUGAAUUGAUACACUGACUCAAACGAAACUAAAUCCAACUUUUAAUCGAAGGCAGUAAAACUUUUAAUCAUCUAAGACUGCAAUACUAAUAUGUCUAUUACACUUUUUGCAGAAUCAAAAUUUGUGUCCAUAUUGGAUGUUUUCUCUUUCAGUUCUAUGUACUGUUGUAACAGAGCUCCGAAUUUUUUGUAGCAUGACUCCUGAUAUAAAUACAGAAAACAUCUGAUCUUACUUACAUUUAACAAAAAACUUCUUGUUCAACAAAGAAAAACCAGAAUCUAUUUCAACUAGAAUUGGUGGGGUGCGCCUGACCCAUGCAGCAGUGCAACGCAUGGGCGACACUUGAAGACCCCAGUAGCAAGCUACCGUGAUGGACCUUCUCCCUCAAAAAACUAAUUUAAUAUCAUGUGGAUCAAUGACCCACGUAUCAGAUAUUAAACUGAUAAGAACAGAUACUACACUUGAUCUUAGCCAAAAGGCCGAGAAAGGUAUGCUUUGCAAUCGCUCUCAACUUCUCUUUCAUAACUUGUCUCGCCCAAACCCUAUUCAACUGUUCAUGAUGUGGGAUAGGGAACUCAGCCAAGUGCAGUAACAUGUAUCUUUCGAUGACCAGUGAAAGCUGAUUGCUAGUUACCUGAAUAUCAGAGCAAAAUCUGGCAACAAAAACACUCUAACAAUUACCAUUUCCUUGGAAGAUUAUUUAUUAAUAAUUUGCGUAUUUGAAAUGGUAUUUGACAUCUGCUUUGAGAAGGCACGGUUCAUAUAAUCUAUAGGUAUAACUUCAAUGUCUUGUUUUAUGCUGCGUUUAGCUGCAAAAUCAGUCAUCUAUUGAGUCUCCUUCAUCCUUUCAAUCAUGCUUAUCUUCGUUCCUGCCGUAAAGGGUAUAACUUGUUAAUUUCUCAGUCUUAAUACCAAAUUAUGUCCAAUACUGAAAAUAUACAGUCAACUUAACGCAUCUCUGCUUCGCAGAUGAUUUACUAAUAUUUGCAAAGGGUAAGUUGGAUUCUGUUAUUGGUGUGAAGGAGGUGCUGAAGGUGUUUUAACACCUUUUCUGGCCUGCAACUUAACUGUGAGAAAAGUGAGUUAUAUUCAACAGGAAUUAAUAGAUGGGAGCUCAGUCCAAUAUAGCAGGUUUCUGGUUUUAAAAUUGGAUUGCUUUCUGUUAGAUACUUGGGGGUACCUUUGGUUACCAGGAGGCUCACCGGAAAAGAUUGUGCGCCACUAAUGGACAAGAUCACAACCAGGAUUAAAAGUUGGGCAGCUAGGCAUUUGUCUUAUGGUGGAAGGUUGCAGCUAAUGCAGUCCGUGCUGUUUGGUAUGCAAAACUAUUGGUCUAGGCGAUUCAUUAUGCCAAAGCAUGUGCUUAAGAAGAGAAAUCAACUAUGCUCCAGUUUCUUCUGGAAAAGGAGAGAAGGGUCCGCAAGGGGAGCUAGAGUGAGCCGUUGUGCAAUUUGUUUCUCUAAAUCUGAGGGAGGACUUGGUCUCAAAGAUAUAGUAUCUUGGAACCAGGCUUGUCUCAUGAAGAAUAUGCAGGACAUUUUUAUUAAAGCUGGUCCAAUAUGGAUAGCAUGGCUAGAAGCUUACGUUUUGAAGGAGAGGAGCAUCUUGCAGGUUCCAGAACAACAAAACAGUAGCUGGAACUGGAGGAAGCUACUUCAGCUUAGAUAGAUUGCACGGCAUUUUAUAAACAUAGAGAAUGGAGUUGAGAUCUAGCUUUUUCUAAGCAACACCUACUCAGCUGCUAUAGUAUGAAAUACGAUUAGGCCGAAACAAGAGAAGGUUGAAUGGCAUAAACUCAUAUGGUUUCAAUACCAUAUUCCAAAGCACUCUAUAAUAUCUUGGAUGGCUAUAUUAUAUAGACUUUCAACGAAGGACAGGUUGAAAACGUGGGGAAUUGAGGUGUAUGACAAAUGUUGCCUGUGCCAGAGAGAGGACGAAACCAGGGAACAUUUGUUCUUUGGAUGUGAUUAUUCAAAAUAGAUUUGGCAAAAGAUAUUACGGAAGUGCAGGAUCUUUCGGGGGUGGAGAACUGGUCCGAAGAGUUGAGAUGGGCAGUGAGCAAAUUGAGGGGAAAGCCUCCAUCAUAUUGCGAUUAGCCUGGAAUUCCAGACAUCAGAUAUGGAAAGAGAGCAACAGCAGGAUGUUACAGGUCCUUGAACACAUAAAAGAUGCUGUGAGGCUUCGAUUACAGGGACUAAGUGAGAUACACAUAAAAGAUGUUGUGAGACUUCGAUUAUAGGGACCAAGUCAGAUUGCUGCGAAUACAGUAAAUAAGAUGAUGUGUGAUACGUGGAAUCUUAAUGUUGCUAUGAUAGAAUAGGUUGCAAUUAGAGAUGCGUAUAUCGAUGGUUUGUAAAAGACAGUUGGAUUGUUGUAUUGUAGUAGAAUUCUGCUAGCUUGAUAAAUAAAAUACAAAUUAUCCAAAAAAAUUCUAAAAAUAUACAAUAAUAAAAUGCAUUACGAACUUAAAAUAUCUAUGCAGACCUCACAUCACUCUUAAAUAACAUAUUAACAAUAGAUUUUUUAUUAUAUAUUUAUUGUAUUAUGUAUAAAUACAUAAAAUAAAAAACAUAAAAAUAAAUUUGUUUUUUUUUUCACAUGCAACUACAAAAAGAAAAUCAAUUUAUUUUAUUGCAUAACCCUUUUCUUUGACAUUUUUUUCUCAUUUUUUCACUUUUUUUUUUGUUCCAACCACAUAAGAGUGUCCAAAAUCUUGUAAUAUGGAAAUCCAUUCUUAGCUAGGAUGAAUAAUCCUUCAAAAUUAAGGAAACUUACAGCCGCCUCUUCUCUUAUAUUAUAAAUUGCUUGUAGGCUUUGCCUUUGAGAAAUUGCAAUUAUAAAGAAUUGCAACCUUCCAUUCUUCUUUUUAUUGCAUUCUUUGUUUUAAGUUUGAUUAUGUCUAAUGAAUUAGAUCAAGUUUUAGUCCCUUGUCGGAAUUUGAGUUUGAGGGAUAGGAAGCUUUUCUAUGCAUACCAUUAUCUAGCAUGUUUCCUAAUAAUGAAAGGGAUUAUGAUGAUCAGUUCUCUGAUGAUGAUUAUAUGAAAGAUGUGGUCAUAUUCGAUACUGAUAAUGAUAUUAUGGAGAUUCUUGAGGAUGCUCUUGUUGAUGAAGAUCCUCCAAAGAUGAUCAGGCCUGAUAGUAAAUCAGCCAUUGAAGGGUUGGAGAAGGUAAAGAUUAAUCAAAGAUCAUUAGUGUUAUAUUCGGUUUAGUUUGAAGAUGUUUCAAUUGGGAUUGAAGCCAAACGCCUGCCCUGCGCCCAUGUUUAUCAUACAGGUUGCAUUGUUAAAUGUCUUAAAGAGACGAAUACAUAUCCAUUGUGCCGCUAUGAAAUGCCUGUUGUCGGUUUUGAUCUAAAUAUCCCAUUGCCUGCUAUUGAUUCUGAUGUGGAUUAUAAAAACAUGACGACUACUAAUUGAUUUCAAUGUCGUUUGUAUUAUGUAUUUGUUAGGGUUAUGUUCUAUUUCUUUUUGUUUCUUUUGAACAAUUUGUUUGUAAUCUUAUGGGUACAUACAGAACAUAAAUGCAUUGAUACACUG
This 11793-nucleotide long non-coding RNA is filed under the name Durio zibethinus. RNAcentral describes it as "long non-coding RNA (DZIB_LNC000609)". The record is from RNAcentral. Lineage: Eukaryota; Viridiplantae; Streptophyta; Magnoliopsida; Malvales; Malvaceae.